Aricia agestis (brown argus) is the source of this 75-nucleotide long non-coding RNA. RefSeq lists it as uncharacterized. NCBI's taxonomy places the organism in Eukaryota, Metazoa, Arthropoda, Insecta, Lepidoptera, Lycaenidae. The transcript has 3 exons. The record is from RefSeq and is a predicted model, not a curated record.
GUACAGCCGCCAUCUAGCGAGACGAAGCUUACAACUACACAAUCAUAAAUGCAAUGUAAAGUGACAUAGGCCGAG